This 372-nucleotide ribosomal RNA is filed under the name uncultured prokaryote. RNAcentral's name for it is "bacterial SSU rRNA". It matches the Rfam family "Bacterial small subunit ribosomal RNA", at positions 524 to 896 of the family's 1533-position model. The record is from RNAcentral.
UACGUAGGGUGCGAGCGUUAAUCGGAAUUACUGGGCGUAAAGCGUGCGCAGGCGGUUAUAUAAGACAGAUGUGAAAUCCCCGGGCUCAACCUGGGAACUGCAUUAGUGACUGUAUAGCUAGAGUGCGGCAGAGGGGGAUGGAAUUCCGCGUGUAGCAGUGAAAUGCGUAGAUAUGCGGAGGAACACCGAUGGCGAAGGCAAUCCCCUGGGCCUGCACUGACGCUCAUGCACGAAAGCGUGGGGAGCAAACAGGAUUAGAUACCCUGGUAGUCCACGCCCUAAACUAUGUCAACUGGUUGUUGGGAAUUCACUUUCUCAGUAACGAAGCUAACGCGUGAAGUUGACCGCCUGGGGAGUACGGCCGCAAGGUUA